RNAcentral lists this non-coding RNA (44 nucleotides) under Schistosoma curassoni. The record is from RNAcentral. Lineage: Eukaryota; Metazoa; Platyhelminthes; Trematoda; Strigeidida; Schistosomatidae.
AUCAGUUGAGGAGCCCUAAAUAGGACGAAACGAGCGUCCUGGAU